UCAGUCGCUUAAACAUAAAACAAAGUGAAGCUCAGAGGCUAACUCAUCAAUAUGAAUAACUCUAAAGACACUGGCUGGUCAUGGCUUAUCUGUGUUGGGUCNUUNNUCUGUAACCUCGUCAUCGGAGCCCAGAUGAAUUGUAGUGGAGUUUUCAUGUCAGCUUUCGUCGACANUUACAAAGUGUCAAGAGGAGAAGCAGCUUGGGUUGCUGUUCUCGCCUCGUCGGCCGCUUACUUCUUUGCUCCACUUAGUACCUCACUCUGCAAUCGGAUUGGUAGCAGAAUGACAGUUGCCAUGGGAACCAUCAUCUGUAUGGUAGCUAUGGUGUCAUCGUCUUUUCAUUCAAGUUUCAAAGCUCUGUACUUUACUUUCGGGAUUUUGUGGGGCCUUGGGGCCAGCCUGUCUUACUAUCCAAACUUUGUCAUNUUAUCGNAAUAUUUCGANAAGANAAUCNCACUGGCAAAUGGUAUUUCGACCUCUGGGUCAUCAAUCGGUACGAUUGCAUUGUCGCCUUUGAUCCAGUAUGCGUUUAAACAAUUUGGACUGAGUAACGGUUUUCGCAUCCUUGCUUGUUUUCACAUUCUGUUGNUCAUCCCAGUGUGUUUAUAUCGACCUCGCGAAGCAGACAAAACUGCAAAAAUAUCGAGAACUUCAAAAACGUGUAGCGACGAAGAUGUACUGAAAAACACCAAGUAUUGGAUUUGGGUCGUUGCAAUGAUUUUCUUUCAACUGAAUUACAUGGUUCCCCUUGUUCAUGUGGUCCGUCUAGGAGAAGAUAUUGGUGCAAGCAAGAUCACUGCUUCACUACUUAUCAGCAUCAUGGCCGGGGGUUCAUUAAUAGGACGCGUAGCAUUUGGUCGCGUGGCUGACCUGAAAUGUUUAAGCCGGAUAAACAUUAUGCAANUCGCUCUUCUCUGCAUCGCGGUUUCUACUACACUUGCACCAUUCUCACCAUCAUUCAUUUGGCUUGCCCUCUACGGCGCUGUAUUUGGACUCAAUGAGGGAAUAUACAUAAUGCUUUUCAUGGUAAUAACUAAAGAUAUCGUGGGUGCUGACCAUCUGGCCUUCGCUUUUGGCAUUCUCUAUUCGAUUUUGUUCGUCCCAAAAACCGUGGGACCACUUUUCGCGGGCUUCAUGUUCGAUAGCUAUCAAAGUUACGUUCUCCCUUUCAUGGUAAUGGGAGGUGUAACAGCUCUUGCGGCGAUCUUGUUGUUUCUUAUUCCCGCCAAAACAUCAAAGGAAACAAACGUAGAUGAUGAGCCAGAGACUGAAAUCAUAGUAUGCCGGGAAACGAGUGUGUGACACGGUUCAGUAUACAUUGGUGACAAAAUGAAUAUUUUUGUGCAUAUUUUUUUAAUACUAAAAGGGGCGACUCUGGGGUAAGGGGUUUGUUGGUUUAUACGAAUCUUUUAAACGAACCCUUAAAAAAAUAACUCGUAAAAAGCCUAAAUGAAAGGUCCAGGCCAAUGCAACCGUUGUUGGCAAAUCCUGAGUUUCACAUGACGUCAUUUCCGGUCUGGUGCGGAAUGUUCAACAGAUGAAAACUUUAGAGCGAAAACAGAGGCUUUUGAAAACCCUGACGUCAUUCACACUGGCACGUCUGUAUCUCGCAUGCGCAGAUAAUGACAUUACUGCAUCAUUUUCGAUCGUAUCUGCGUUUUUGAAAACGCUAUAGAAGCACUAGUAUGGACAGUACGUGAAGCUUUCGAUGCGUUUUCGGCGAGAUGAAAACGGAACGUUUCGAAAAAGCAUUAGUGUGGAGGUUAUUUGGUAACUGAUUGGAACACAGCGAUAUUAGUCAUUCCGAGGUUGUUGGAAAAACUGGGUCGAGUUGACAUUGCAGUGCAUUGUGGGGCUGUUUAAGGACAUAUUUCCAUGAUGGCUUUUACUUCGGCAAAGCAACGCAAUGUAAUAACAAUUCAACCCAGUUUUUUUUCGAACUCGGAAUGGCUGACUCCGCGAGAUUAUAUUCUCAUCCAAUAAAUUAUCCUACUGGUCAGCGGGAUGUGCAAUGUGUGAGAAUACUUCCUUGAUUUAUUGUUUUGUCACAAGUCGAGUGGCUUGUGGCAGUAUUUUGGACUCACGAAAGUAUACUAGCUUAUAUUUUUGUAUUCUUGGAGAAAACGAACAUUUGUUUUCUCACUAAAACUCUAUAAAAUUCUUAGAAAACGUGCUGAAAGGCACGCAUAUGCAGAUAUUUUUUCUCUAACGUUUCACAGCCUUGAACUGCGUAGUCGAUUCCCGACUGAACUUAAGAGAGUUGAGUUUGUUUGAUAUGGCCGUUAAACAAACCGCAACCGUUACACAAAGAAACCAUAAAUUAGUGAAUGCCACUGGCGAGCCAAUGAUAAAGCAUUAUUCAUCACACAAUAAUGUAAACAAAGUUUCCUUGACAUUUUAUUUAUAAAGAUUUCAUUUACAAAAACCA
Molecule: unclassified non-coding RNA, 2428 nt
Filed under: Actinia tenebrosa (Australian red waratah sea anemone)
Lineage: Eukaryota; Metazoa; Cnidaria; Anthozoa; Actiniaria; Actiniidae
Description: monocarboxylate transporter 14-like, transcript variant X1
Source: RNAcentral